GUUGACGUGGCCGAGUGGUUAAGGCGACCGCCUGCUAAGCGGUUGGAGUUUCUCCGCGCAAGUUCGAAUCUUGCCGUCAACG
Molecule: transfer RNA, 82 nt
Filed under: Megaviridae environmental sample
Lineage: Varidnaviria; Bamfordvirae; Nucleocytoviricota; Megaviricetes; Imitervirales; Mimiviridae
Description: tRNA-Ser
Rfam family: tRNA
About the family: Transfer RNA (tRNA) molecules are approximately 80 nucleotides in length. Their secondary structure includes four short double-helical elements and three loops (D, anti-codon, and T loops).
Source: RNAcentral